CCUACGGGAGGCUGCAGUGGGGAAUAUUGCACAAUGGGCGCAAGCCUGAUGCAGCCAUGCCGCGUGUGUGAAGAAGGCCUUCGGGUUGUAAAGCACUUUCAGCGGGGAGGAAGGCGGUGAGGUUAAUAACCUCAUCGAUUGACGUUACCCGCAGAAGAAGCACCGGCUAACUCCGUGCCAGCAGCCGCGGUAAUACGGAGGGUGCAAGCGUUAAUCGGAAUUACUGGGCGUAAAGCGCACGCAGGCGGUCUGUCAAGUCGGAUGUGAGAUCCCCGGGCUCAACCUGGGAACUGCAUUCGAAACUGGCAGGCUAGAGUCUUGUAGAGGGGGGUAGAAUUCCAGGUGUAGCGGUGAAAUGCGUAGAGAUCUGGAGGAAUACCGGUGGCGAAGGCGGCCCCCUGGACAAAGACUGACGCUCAGGUGCGAAAGCGUGGGGAGCAAACAGGAUUAGAUACCCCUGUAGUC
RNAcentral lists this ribosomal RNA (465 nucleotides) under uncultured Klebsiella sp. Its description in RNAcentral is "bacterial SSU rRNA". It matches the Rfam family "Bacterial small subunit ribosomal RNA", at positions 338 to 795 of the family's 1533-position model. Lineage: Bacteria; Pseudomonadati; Pseudomonadota; Gammaproteobacteria; Enterobacterales; Enterobacteriaceae. The record is from RNAcentral.